GCGAGGAUGGUGAAAUUGGUAGACACGCCAGACUUAGGAUCUGGAGCCGCUGGCAUAGGGGUUCGAGUCCCCUUCCUCGCA
This 81-nucleotide transfer RNA is filed under the name Treponema sp. RNAcentral's name for it is "tRNA-Leu". It matches the Rfam family "tRNA". Rfam says of the family: Transfer RNA (tRNA) molecules are approximately 80 nucleotides in length. The record is from RNAcentral. Lineage: Bacteria; Pseudomonadati; Spirochaetota; Spirochaetia; Treponematales; Treponemataceae.